RNAcentral lists this small nuclear RNA (117 nucleotides) under Mola mola (ocean sunfish). RNAcentral's name for it is "U4 spliceosomal RNA (ENSMMOG00000007813.1)". It matches the Rfam family "U4 spliceosomal RNA". From Rfam's summary of the family: U4 small nuclear RNA (U4 snRNA) is a component of the major U2-dependent spliceosome. The structure of U4 snRNA from yeast and human has been reported. U4 snRNA presents a k-turn RNA motif in the 5p-SL related to recognition of Snu13 protein. Lineage: Eukaryota; Metazoa; Chordata; Actinopteri; Tetraodontiformes; Molidae. The record is from RNAcentral.
CACUUUGCGCAGUGGCAGUAUUGUAGCCUAUGAGGUUUAUCCAAGGCACGAUUAUUGCUAGUUGAAAACAUCUAUACAAUUCCAUGUAAUUGUCAAUAAAUAAAGAUUGCAUCCAAA